RNAcentral lists this ribosomal RNA (890 nucleotides) under Alteromonas sp. 56(2010). Its description in RNAcentral is "bacterial SSU rRNA". It matches the Rfam family "Bacterial small subunit ribosomal RNA", at positions 89 to 983 of the family's 1533-position model. Lineage: Bacteria; Pseudomonadati; Pseudomonadota; Gammaproteobacteria; Alteromonadales; Alteromonadaceae. The record is from RNAcentral.
UGACGAGUGGCGGACGGGUGAGUAAUGCUUGGGAACUUGCCUUUGCGAGGGGGAUAACAGUUGGAAACGACUGCUAAUACCGCAUAAUGUCUUCGGACCAAACGGGGCUUCGGCUCCGGCGCAAAGAGAGGCCCAAGUGAGAUUAGCUAGUUGGUAAGGUAACGGCUUACCAAGGCGACGAUCUCUAGCUGUUCUGAGAGGAAGAUCAGCCACACUGGGACUGAGACACGGCCCAGACUCCUACGGGAGGCAGCAGUGGGGAAUAUUGCACAAUGGGGGAAACCCUGAUGCAGCCAUGCCGCGUGUGUGAAGAAGGCCUUCGGGUUGUAAAGCACUUUCAGUUGUGAGGAAAAGUUAGUAGUUAAUACCUGCUAGCCGUGACGUUAACAACAGAAGAAGCACCGGCUAACUCCGUGCCAGCAGCCGCGGUAAUACGGAGGGUGCGAGCGUUAAUCGGAAUUACUGGGCGUAAAGCGCACGCAGGCGGUUUGUUAAGCUAGAUGUGAAAGCCCCGGGCUCAACCUGGGAUGGUCAUUUAGAACUGGCAGACUAGAGUCUUGGAGAGGGGAGUGGAAUUCCAGGUGUAGCGGUGAAAUGCGUAGAUAUCUGGAGGAACAUCAGUGGCGAAGGCGACUCCCUGGCCAAAGACUGACGCUCAUGUGCGAAAGUGUGGGUAGCGAACAGGAUUAGAUACCCUGGUAGUCCACACCGUAAACGCUGUCUACUAGCUGUGUGUGUCUUUAAGACGUGCGUAGCGAAGCUAACGCGCUAAGUAGACCGCCUGGGGAGUACGGCCGCAAGGUUAAAACUCAAAUGAAUUGACGGGGCCCGCACAAGCGGUGGAGCAUGUGGUUUAAUUCGAUGCACGCGAAGAACCUUACCUACACUUG